UAAGAAUAUUCCGCAAUGGACGAAAGUCUGACGGAGCGACGCCGCGUGGAUGACGAAGGCCGAAAGGUUGUAAAAUCCUUUUGCUGAUGAAGAAUAAGUAUGGUAGGGAAUGACCGUAUGAUGACAUUAGUCGGUGAAUAAGCCCCGGCUAACUACGUGCCAGCAGCCGCGGUAACACGUAGGGGGCAAGCGUUGUUCGGAAUUAUUGGGCGUAAAGGGCAUGUAGGCGGUUUUGUAAGCCAGGUGUGAAAUCCUGCAGCUUAACUGUAGAAUUGCAUCGGGUACUGCAAGACUUGAAUCACAGAGGGGAAACUAGAAUUCCAGGUGUAGGGGUGGAAUCUGUAGAUAUCUGGAAGAAUACCGGUGGCGAAGGCGGGUUUCUAGCUGAUGAUUGACGCUGAGGUGCGAAAGUGCGGGGAGCAAAC
Molecule: ribosomal RNA, 425 nt
Filed under: uncultured bacterium
Lineage: Bacteria
Description: bacterial SSU rRNA
Rfam family: Bacterial small subunit ribosomal RNA
Source: RNAcentral